This 424-nucleotide ribosomal RNA is filed under the name uncultured prokaryote. RNAcentral describes it as "bacterial SSU rRNA". It matches the Rfam family "Bacterial small subunit ribosomal RNA", at positions 355 to 796 of the family's 1533-position model. The record is from RNAcentral.
CAAGGAAUUUUCCGCAAUGGGCGCAAGCCUGACGGAGCAACGCCGCGUGCAGGACGACGGCCUUCGGGUUGUAAACUGCUUUUCGGCGGGACGAUGAUGACGGUACCGCCGGAAGAAGCCCCGGCUAACUCCGUGCCAGCAGCCGCGGUAAGACGGAGGGGGCAAGCGUUGUUCGGAUUUACUGGGCGUAAAGGGCGCGUAGGCGGGGUAUCCAGUUAGGGGUGAAAGCCCGGGGCUCAACCUCGGAACUGCCUUUAAAACUGAUACUCUAGAGUCCGGAAGAGGGUCGCGGAAUUCCCAGUGUAGAGGUGAAAUUCGUAGAUAUUGGGAAGAACACCGGUGGCGAAGGCGGCGACCUGGUCCGGUACUGACGCUGAGGCGCGAAAGCGUGGGGAGCAAACAGGAUUAGAUACCCCUGUAGUCC